RNAcentral lists this ribosomal RNA (497 nucleotides) under uncultured bacterium. Its description in RNAcentral is "partial 16S ribosomal RNA". It matches the Rfam family "Bacterial small subunit ribosomal RNA", at positions 28 to 507 of the family's 1533-position model. The record is from RNAcentral.
GAUGAACGCUGGCGGCGUGCCUAAUACAUGCAAGUCGAGCGAACAGACGAGGAGCUUGCUCCUCUGACGUUAGCGGCGGACGGGUGAGUAACACGUGGAUAACCUACCUAUAAGACUGGGAUAACUUCGGGAAACCGGAGCUAAUACCGGAUAAUAUAUUGAACCGCAUGGUUCAAUAGUGAAAGACGGUUUUGCUGUCACUUAUAGAUGGAUCCGCGCCGCAUUAGCUAGUUGGUAAGGUAACGGCUUACCAAGGCAACGAUGCGUAGCCGACCUGAGAGGGUGAUCGGCCACACUGGAACUGAGCCACGGUCCAGACUCCUACGGGAGGCAGCAGUAGGGAAUCUUCCGCAAUGGGCGAAAGCCUGACGGAGCAACGCCGCGUGAGUGAUGAAGGUCUUCGGAUCGUAAAACUCUGUUAUUAGGGAAGAACAAAUGUGUAAGUAACUGUGCACGUCUUGACGGUACCUAAUCAGAAAGCCACGGCUAACUACGUG